This is a non-coding RNA of Theobroma cacao (cacao), 147 nucleotides long. The record is from RefSeq and is a predicted model, not a curated record. NCBI's taxonomy places the organism in Eukaryota, Viridiplantae, Streptophyta, Magnoliopsida, Malvales, Malvaceae.
AAAAUGUGAAUUUUCAAGAAAUCAAGUGUUUAAAGGUGGUGAGCUAUCUGAUACGGGUAAAAGACUACACCCGAGGACCGAGAAUAGGAGUAUAUCUACUCCUAGUACAGCUCAGGACAAUUUGUUGAUAGUUGAUUAAGACGAGAA